RNAcentral lists this unclassified non-coding RNA (516 nucleotides) under Hevea brasiliensis (rubber tree). The record is from RNAcentral. Lineage: Eukaryota; Viridiplantae; Streptophyta; Magnoliopsida; Malpighiales; Euphorbiaceae.
GAAAAAUCAGAAAGCUCAGACCCAGAAGUUGUAGGCUGUAAAGGAGGAAGUUGCACAGUGGGUUGCUGAAGAACUUCAUGAGUUGAAGAUGGCGGACUUAACAAAGCCAUAAGUCGAGCCCCAGGGUUAGGAUUCGGGUUAUUUCCAGGAUUCAAGAACUGGUGAGGACUAGUAGGGGUUGGUGGUGGUUGAAGUGGUGGAGCAGGGAAAGACAUAGAUCUUUGCGGAUGCAUAUGUCCAUCAUGUUGAGGUUGAUGGUUGUUAUACUGUAGAGGAAUAUUGUGAUUGAAUUGAGGAAUAAGGUGAAAAGGGGUUGUCUGGGUUGGGUAGUAAAGUCCUCCGGCACUUCCUCCUGUACCACCACCGGCGCCGCCGGCACUAGCCGGAGGAUAAGAAGCUGAAGCAAGCGGAAAUGGUGAAGGUAUCAAAUUCGGGUUAAUGGGGUUCUGGGUAUUCGGGUUUGUUGAAACCAGAGUUGAAGGCUUGAAGAAAGUAUGCAUAUCAGACGGUGUUCCA